This is a long non-coding RNA of Drosophila mojavensis, 470 nucleotides long. RefSeq lists it as uncharacterized. The transcript is spliced from 3 exons. The record is from RefSeq and is a predicted model, not a curated record. Lineage: Eukaryota; Metazoa; Arthropoda; Insecta; Diptera; Drosophilidae.
AACUAUUAGGUCUGAUUGAACUGGAAAAUGGAGACGCAGAGAGUAUUGCCAAGUGCCUAUUGUCCGAAUUAAUAAAACGGAAAAUUCCGGUUAAAAACCUUUUUGGCAUUGGAACAGAUAAUGCCAGUGUAAUGGUGGGUAAUAAGAAAAGUGUUUUUGUCGAAUUGAAGAAGGUUGUACCGUCCUUAGUAUUAAUAAAAUGUGUGUGCCAUUCGGUACAAUUGGCGGUGAAUGCAGCAUGCAAAAAAGCACUGCCAAUGUCGCUUGAAUUUAUUGUCAGCGAAACCUAUUCUUGGUUCGCAAAAAGUUCAAGUAGACAGAUGGCUUACAAAAGAUUGUACGAAGCCAUAAAUAAUGAUAAGAUUAUUAAUUUGUGUACCUGUUUUAUAUAUUAACCACGUACUAAAUAUAUGCGUUGUCCUGAAACUUGUCCCAAGAACCCCUUCAGAUUCCCAGGGUGUGCGAUACGA